AAAGGAAAAAAGAACAAAUUUUAAUAGAUUUUAAAAGAUCAAUUUGAUUUUUUUUUUCAACAAAACAAACCAGGAGAAAUACUCUAUUGUAGAGUAAUCCUAGGGAGAGUCCCACCCACCAGCUGUUCUUGCUUCCUUUUCCCUCCAAACAACUACAAGGGAGACACAGACAAACAUCUCUGAGACUCAGUCUCCUGCAGGGCAAUAGCCCAACAGAGCUGGCCACCCUACUAAACUGUCUCUUUUUCACUUUUUCCUUAACACUCCUCAGCCCCCCAACCACAAUGCCUGCUCAGUGCUGGAGACUCAGCUCACUUGCCAAACCUAGAGGAAGGAGGAGGGGUACAGAACGGAACAACUUGAAAAGUCACUUUAUAAAACUUUACAUCAAGGCUUGAGGCAGGAACUGCUGGAUUUCCAUUCAAUCAGGUAGAGCAAAGUGAUUGAAAUUCACUGGUGAUGGCUGAUUCCUUAAUACCAGCAAGCCAAGCUGCUUGGUUUAUGCUUCGUGUUUGACUCAGGUUCUGACAGACAACUGAAGAUUUCAACCUGACCUUGUAAUGGUGACAUCAACUUUGUCACAAGAUGCAGGAAAAUGCCAGAAAUAAACAUCUCAGUUACCAUUAA
Non-coding RNA from Monodelphis domestica (gray short-tailed opossum), 627 nucleotides. Lineage: Eukaryota; Metazoa; Chordata; Mammalia; Didelphimorphia; Didelphidae. The record is from RefSeq and is a predicted model, not a curated record.